RNAcentral lists this ribosomal RNA (465 nucleotides) under uncultured bacterium. RNAcentral describes it as "partial 16S ribosomal RNA". It matches the Rfam family "Bacterial small subunit ribosomal RNA", at positions 28 to 506 of the family's 1533-position model. The record is from RNAcentral.
GACGAACGCUGGCGGCGCGCCUAACACAUGCAGGUCGAACGAGCGAGAGAGAGCUUGCUUUCUCGAGCGAGUGGCGAACGGGUGAGUAACGCGUGAGGAACCUGCCUCAAAGAGGGGGACAACAGUUGGAAACGACUGCUAAUACCGCAUAAGCCCACGGUGCCGCAUGGCACAGAGGGAAAAGGAGCAAUCCGCUUUGAGAUGGCCUCGCGUCCGAUUAGCUAGUUGGUGAGGUAAUGGCCCACCAAGGCGACGAUCGGUAGCCGGACUGAGAGGUUGAACGGCCACAUUGGGAAUGAGACACGGCCCAGACUCCUACGGGAGGCAGCAGUGGGGAAUAUUGCACAAUGGGGGAAACCCUGAUGCAGCGACGCCGCGUGGAGGAAGAAGGUCUUCGGAUUGUAAACUCCUGUUGUUGGGGAAGAUAAUGACGGUACCCAACAAGGAAGUGACGGCUAACUACGU